Molecule: ribosomal RNA, 338 nt
Filed under: Achromobacter sp.
Lineage: Bacteria; Pseudomonadati; Pseudomonadota; Betaproteobacteria; Burkholderiales; Alcaligenaceae
Description: bacterial SSU rRNA
Rfam family: Bacterial small subunit ribosomal RNA
Source: RNAcentral
UUUGGAACUGCAUUUUUAACUACCGAGCUAGAGUGUGUCAGAGGGAGGUGGAAUUCCGCGUGUAGCAGUGAAAUGCGUAGAUAUGCGGAGGAACACCGAUGGCGAAGGCAGCCUCCUGGGAUAACACUGACGCUCAUGCACGAAAGCGUGGGGAGCAAACAGGAUUAGAUACCCUGGUAGUCCACGCCCUAAACGAUGUCAACUAGCUGUUGGGGCCUUCGGGCCUUGGUAGCGCAGCUAACGCGUGAAGUUGACCGCCUGGGGAGUACGGUCGCAAGAUUAAAACUCAAAGGAAUUGACGGGGACCCGCACAAGCGGUGGAUGAUGUGGAUUAAUUC